UUUUAUGAGAGUUUGAUCCUGGCUCAGGACGAACGCUGGCGGCGUGCCUAAUACAUGCAAGUCGAACGCUUCUUUUUCCACCGGAGCUUGCUCCACCGGAAAAAGAGGAGUGGCGAACGGGUGAGUAACACGUGGGUAACCUGCCCAUCAGAAGGGGAUAACACUUGGAAACAGGUGCUAAUACCGUAUAACAAUCAAAACCGCAUGGUUUUGAUUUGAAAGGCGCUUUCGGGUGUCGCUGAUGGAUGGACCCGCGGUGCAUUAGCUAGUUGGUGAGGUAACGGCUCACCAAGGCCACGAUGCAUAGCCGACCUGAGAGGGUGAUCGGCCACAUUGGGACUGAGACACGGCCCAAACUCCUACGGGAGGCAGCAGUAGGGAAUCUUCGGCAAUGGACGAAAGUCUGACCGAGCAACGCCGCGUGAGUGAAGAAGGUUUUCGGAUCGUAAAACUCUGUUGUUAGAGAAGAACAAGGAUGAGAGUAACUGUUCAUCCCUUGACGGUAUCUAACCAGAAAGCCACGGCUAACUACGUGCCAGCAGCCGCGGUAAUACGUAGGUGGCAAGCGUUGUCCGGAUUUAUUGGGCGUAAAGCGAGCGCAGGCGGUUUCUUAAGUCUGAUGUGAAAGCCCCCGGCUCAACCGGGGAGGGUCAUUGGAAACUGGGAGACUUGAGUGCAGAAGAGGAGAGUGGAAUUCCAUGUGUAGCGGUGAAAUGCGUAGAUAUAUGGAGGAACACCAGUGGCGAAGGCGGCUCUCUGGUCUGUAACUGACGCUGAGGCUCGAAAGCGUGGGGAGCAAACAGGAUUAGAUACCCUGGUAGUCCACGCCGUAAACGAUGAGUGCUAAGUGUUGGAGGGUUUCCGCCCUUCAGUGCUGCAGCUAAAGACUGCCGGUGACAAACCGGAGGAAGGUGGGGAUGACGUCAAAUCAUCAUGCCCCUUAUGACCUGGGCUACACACGUGCUACAAUGGGAAGUACAACGAGUCGCGAAGUCGCGAGGCUAAGCUAAUCUCUUAAAGCUUCUCUCAGUUCGGAUUGCAGGCUGCAACUCGCCUGCAUGAAGCCGGAAUCGCUAGUAAUCGCGGAUCAGCACGCCGCGGUGAAUACGUUCCCGGGCCUUGUACACACCGCCCGUCACACCACGAGAGUUUGUAACACCCGAAGUCGGUGAGGUAACCUUUUGGAGCCAGCCGCCUAAGGUGGGAUAGAUGAUUGGGGUGAAGUCGUAACAAGGUAGCCGUAUCGGAAGGUGCGGCUGGAUCACCUCCUUUCUAAGGAA
RNAcentral lists this ribosomal RNA (1280 nucleotides) under Enterococcus faecium. RNAcentral describes it as "bacterial SSU rRNA". It matches the Rfam family "Bacterial small subunit ribosomal RNA". Lineage: Bacteria; Bacillati; Bacillota; Bacilli; Lactobacillales; Enterococcaceae. The record is from RNAcentral.